AAUUAAAUCAGCUAAUAUUAAGCUAUUGGGCUCAUACCCCAAAAAUGAGAGGAUCUCUUUAAUUG
This 65-nucleotide transfer RNA is filed under the name Phoronopsis harmeri. RNAcentral describes it as "tRNA-Met". The record is from RNAcentral. Lineage: Eukaryota; Metazoa; Phoronida; Phoronidae.